GAUACAGCCAAGACACCAGCUGGACACCCCUUUUCUGGGAACAAGGCUCUGUGGGCUGUGUUGUCACAGGCUGGAAGGAGAUAAGGCUCCUCGCUGGGAGAACGAGGAGCAUUCUCUUGGGACAGGAUGUGCAGAUCACUGGGAAAGAAAAGAGUGGAUAAGGUGAGAUUGAUGUGCAGAUCCUGAAGUUUCUCCAACCUUUGCUCAUUUUUCUAAACAGAUCUGAGCCAGGGAGGACAAAAAAAAAAACAAAAAAAAAACCUCAAGGACACUUCAUUUAUGCAUCCAAAACAAGACUUGGGACCUUGAGUUUCUGAC
Molecule: non-coding RNA, 318 nt
Organism: Cyanistes caeruleus (blue tit)
Lineage: Eukaryota; Metazoa; Chordata; Aves; Passeriformes; Paridae
Source: RefSeq, a predicted model, not a curated record